Molecule: microRNA precursor, 96 nt
Filed under: Pelobates cultripes (western spadefoot toad)
Lineage: Eukaryota; Metazoa; Chordata; Amphibia; Anura; Pelobatidae
Source: RNAcentral
AUAGGAAAGCAUUAAGCUCAAAAUCUACAUUGAGUCCCUUAGGGUCCCUAAGGGACUCAAUGUAGAUUUUGAGCUUAAUGCUUUCCUAUAAUCUAU